UAAAUUUCCAACGUCUAACGCACAUCGUUUACGGCAUGGACUACGAGGGUAUCUAAUCCUCUUCGCUACCCAUGCUUUCGUUCCUCAGUGUCAGUAAUGAUCCAGAAAGCUGCCUUCGCAAUUGGUAUUCUUUCUAAUAUCUACGAAUUUCACCUCUACACUAGAAAUUCUGCUUUCCUCUAUCAUACUCUAGCUGAAAAGUUUUGAUGGCAGUUCCAGAGUUAAGCUCUGGGAUUUCACCACCAACUUUUUCAACCACCUACGAACUCUUUAAGCCCAGUAAUUCCGAACUACGCUAGGUCCCUUCGUAUUACCGCGGCUGCUGGCACGAAGUUAGCCGGACCUUCUUAUUCGGGUACAGUCAUUUUCUUCCCCGACGAAAGAGCUUUACAACCCAAAGGCCUUCUUCACUCACGCGGCAUCGCUGCAUCAGAGUUUCCUCCAUUGUGCAAGAUUCCCCACUGCUGCCUCCCGUAGGAGUUUGGGCCGUGUCUCAGUCCCAAUGUGGCUGAUCAUCCUCUCAAAUCAGCUAUUGAUCAUAGUCUUGGUAGGCCAUUACCCUACCAACAAACUAAUCAAGUGCGGGCUCAUCCAAUGGUGCAUAAAGCUUUCUCAGUAAAGACUUAUCCGGUAUUAGCACAAGUUUCCUCGUGUUAUUCCAGGCCAAAGGGUAGAUACCCACAUGUUACUCACCCGUCUGCCACUAAGUAUUGCUACUUCGUUCGACUUGCAUGUGUUAGGCGUGCCGCCAGCGUACGUUCUGAGCCAGGAUCAAACUCU
RNAcentral lists this ribosomal RNA (780 nucleotides) under uncultured bacterium. RNAcentral describes it as "partial 16S ribosomal RNA". The record is from RNAcentral.